Molecule: long non-coding RNA, 1365 nt
Filed under: Sorghum bicolor (sorghum)
Lineage: Eukaryota; Viridiplantae; Streptophyta; Magnoliopsida; Poales; Poaceae
Description: long non-coding RNA (SBIC_LNC014807)
Source: RNAcentral
AGACUAUAUGCACUUAAAGGUCUCUUAUGAAGCAGGAAGUUUAAGCUCAUCCCAAAAUGAAUUUCCAUAGGUAGAAUUUCUUCUUCCCUUAGAUGAUUUUGGAGCACUACUAGUUUGGGUUGGAUAGCCGAAUCAUGGGAUUGAAAUGUUUGGAAAUUGGCUAUUGAAACUUCCUUUCCUCGUCUGGGAGAUGAUUCCUUCUCUAUCUCUAGGAUUUUUUUAUAAAGACUAGUGCAAGAAGGAUAUCUACGAAUGAAGACAUACCUUGCUUUACAAACAAAGAAAGAAAGAAAAACUCUACCAAAGGUUAUAUCAUUAAGACCAAUGUGAAAAUAUCAAGAAAAAACAUGGUCUUGUAGGGCAAGGUCUAAACCAGAAUUUAUAGAAAGAUUAAAAGAUUUCCUAGCUGUAGCUAAAAGUUCAUUAUCUUCUUGAUAAAAAGAUAGGACCUCGGCUAUAGAAAAGGCUUGGUUUUGACCUAUUGCAAUCAACUCCAGACAUAGAUCAUAAUUAGGGGCAAAGAAAGGACUUGUUGACUCCCAUGGUCUAUGGCUGGUCUCCGAAGGUGCAAAAAAUUCAAUAAUAGGUGUGGAAUUUGAGUUAUCCAUAAAGAUGGAAAAAAUAAAAAAGAUAAAAGAAUAAAAGUAUAAAAGUAUAAUACAAGAUAAUAGCAAGACUCAAAGUUAUCUCAGCAAACCGUCUUUCUCCCCGGCAACAGCGCCAGAAAUGCUUGUUGAUAUUUAUGAGUACCCGAGCCCAAACACCAUGUUUACGCUAGCAAUGAUUACUCUAAACUCAACCGGAAGAGAUUAAAGUACACUCAUAAACCAAAGAACAAUAAGAACAAAGAACUUACUAGAAUUUAGAAGUCGAAACACUGAAGAAUCCUAGGAGCAAGCCUCGGGUUAGGAGACUUGAUCCCGUAGGUACAACCUCGGAGUAGACACCAACAGGCCGGGCUUCCUCCGAUCUACACCUCCACUCUAUCUCUCUCAAACUAGUAGAACUUAGAAGAACUAAUUCUACUCUCACAUUGGAUGCUAAGCCCUAUGAGGUGGGAACCCUAAGGAACCUCUCUCUCUGAAUCCUCUCUAGAAAAUAUGCUAAUGAAUAAUGAGGAUUGCCUCCUCUAGGGGUCAGGGGGCCUGCUUAUAUAGUCCCCUCAAGUGAAUCUGGGCUGUCGGAUCAAACCGACAUUAAUCGCACGGUUUUCCUUGAUCCUUUAGGUCGGUGGAGCAUAAUCCGCGAGACGGGACCUGAUUGGUCUCUGUAGCUGGGCGGGCGCCCUGCCCCCGGGCCCGUUCGGCCUCCUGUUCGUUCCCGUGGCUUCUAGAGUCUUCUACAUGAUAGAAAAUUGCGCGGCAC